AUGUGUGGUUUACAUAAUCAUAAUUUAUGUGCAAACUUAGUCGAUCAUUCAAUUGCAUGUUGGCUCUUGUCGAAAGAGAACGAAUGUGUUUCCGACAUGACAUUGAAUUUAGUACCUCCCAAAAACAUACUUGCAACUUUGAAGCGCAAAAGACCCGGGAAUAUCUCAAAUAUCAAGCAAGUGUACAAUAAGAGCUUUCAAUCCAAAUUAGUGCUUAGGGGAGAUCGAAAUGAAAUGCGACACCUCUUGAAACUUCUAGAUGAUAACAAUUACGUUUCUAGGAACCAAAGAUGUGAGGAUGGAGUAACAGUAAAGUGA
Vicia faba (fava bean) is the source of this 318-nucleotide non-coding RNA. The record is from the annotation of a GenBank genome assembly. Lineage: Eukaryota; Viridiplantae; Streptophyta; Magnoliopsida; Fabales; Fabaceae.